AGGGUUUGAUCCUGGCUCAGAACGAACGCUGGCGGCACGCCUAACACAUGCAAGUCGAGCGCACCUUCGGGUGAGCGGCGGACGGGUUAGUAACGCGUGGGAACAUACCCUUCUCUAAGGAAUAGCCACUGGAAACGGUGAGUAAUACCUUAUACGCCCUUCGGGGGAAAGAUUUAUCGGAGAUGGAUUGGCCCGCGUUAGAUUAGAUAGUUGGUGGGGUAACGGCCUACCAAGUCUACGAUCUAUAGCUGGUUUUAGAGGAUGAUCAGCAACACUGGGACUGAGACGCGGCCCAGACUCCUACGGGAGGCAGCAGUGGGGAAUCUUAGACAAUGGGCGAAAGCCUGAUCUAGCGAUGCCGCGUGAGUGAUGAAGGCCUUAGGGUCGUAAAGCUCUUUCGCCAGGGAUGAUAAUGACAGUACCUGGUAAAGAAACCCCGGCUAACUUCGUGCCAGCAGCCGCGGUAAUACGGAGGGGGUUAGCGUUGUUCGGAAUUACUGGGCGUAAAGCGCACGUAGGCGGACUAUUAAGUGAGGGGUGAAAUCCCAGGGCUCAACCCUGGAACUGCCUCUCAUACUGGUAGUCUUGAGUUCGAGAGAGGUGAGUGGAAUUCCGAGUGUAGAGGUGAAAUUCGUAGAUAUUCGGAGGAACACCAGUGGCGAAGGCGGCUGACUGGCUCGAUACUGACGCUGAGGUGCGAAAGUGUGGGGAGCAAACAGGAUUAGAUACCCUGGUAGUCCACACCGUAAACGAUGAAUGCCAGUCGUCAGCAAGUAUACUUGUUGGUGACACACCUAACGGAUUAAGCAUUCCGCCUGGGGAGUACGGUCGCAAGAUUAAAACUCAAAGGAAUUGACGGGGGCCCGCACAAGCGGUGGAGCAUGUG
This 886-nucleotide ribosomal RNA is filed under the name uncultured Alphaproteobacteria bacterium. RNAcentral's name for it is "bacterial SSU rRNA". It matches the Rfam family "Bacterial small subunit ribosomal RNA", at positions 8 to 943 of the family's 1533-position model. The record is from RNAcentral. Lineage: Bacteria; Pseudomonadati; Pseudomonadota; Alphaproteobacteria.